GACGAACGCUGGCGGCGUGCUUAACACAUGCAAGUCGAACGGAAAGGCCCUGCUUUUGUGGGGUGCUCGAGUGGCGAACGGGUGAGUAAAACGUGAGUAACCUGCACUUGACUUUGGGAUAACUUCAGGAAACUGGGGCUAAUACCGGAUAGGAGCUCCUGCUGCAUGGUGGUGGUUGGAAAGUUUCGGCGGUUGGGGAUGGAUUCGCGGCUUAUCAGCUUGUUGGUGGGGUAGUGGCUUACAAAGGCUUUGACGGGUAGCCGGCCUGGGAGGGUGACCGGCCACAUGGGGACUGAGGGACGGAGCAGACGGCUACGGGAGGCAGCAGUGGGGAGUAUUGCGGAAUGGGCGGAAGCCUGAGGCGACGACGUCGCGUUCGUGAUGACGUGUUUCUAGUGGUGAACAGCUGUCGACGUUGAUGAGGCGUGAGUGACGGUAAUGGGUAAGAAAGCACCGGCUAACUACGUG
This 468-nucleotide ribosomal RNA is filed under the name uncultured bacterium. Its description in RNAcentral is "partial 16S ribosomal RNA". It matches the Rfam family "Bacterial small subunit ribosomal RNA", at positions 28 to 507 of the family's 1533-position model. The record is from RNAcentral.